GGGUGUCAGUCACUGCUUUCAUGAGCAAUGCAUAAGGUUUUAUGUUUAACAACUCUGGGGGAAUCUAAUAUGCUUGCUAAUAGUCAUAGAGAAGUGGAUUCUGAUAGUGUCGAUCACUUGACACUUGGUCAGCACUUUCUCAUCGGAUAUUAGAAUAACAAAUCUGAUUCUGAUUUUAGGAAUCCCCUGAGGGAAGGACGGUGCUGGUACUCCGGAAAUCUUUACCAAGGACAAAGAAAGACUUCUUCACGGAACCAGGUGAAGAUGUUUUAAUUGUAGUGUUAAAGGAGCGGAGCGUCCAGAUCUGAGAUUGAUUCUCAUGAUUGCCACUUUAAAGCUGAACUCGUUUCUAAUUAUUAUGGAGGGGCACCUACCAUUCACAUUCCUGUUGAGGGAUCCUGAUCUGGUUAAGAGGAUUGGAGCAGCCACUGCAGUCGAAGUCAGAGCCACUGGAAUUCCAUACACAUUUGCUCCUUGCAUUGCAGUUUGUAGAGAACCCAGAUGGGGUAGGUGUUAUGAGAGCUACAGCGAGGAUCACAAAGUUGUGGAAGACAUGACAGAUGUCAUACUUGGUUUUCAAGGAGAGCCUCCUUCCAACUAUAAGCAUGGCAUUCCAUUUGUUGGUGGCAGGUGUUUCCACAGUGAUGGUUUCAUAUUCAAGCUGGAAUGGUGAGAAGAUGCAUGCAAAUACUGAGCUUAUUACAGGUGUGUGUGUGUUCGUGUCCCCCCAGAAGGAUGAAGUUUUUUCAGAGAACAAACACUCUCUGUCUCCGGCGACAGUGUUCUUACACUAAGUAACAACAACAUCAAACUCUGGUGGAUUAUAAACAAGAUCGGAGAGAUAUGCACUUUGAUUUGAAGAAGAAUGAAGAAGGAUUCACAGCAUCAUUCUUGUUACAGAGGUUGUCUUUGAUGACUCAAUACGUCUUAAUAUUCCACUUCAGUCUUCCCAAUCCUUACUUAAGUCAUCGAUGAUGGUGGAGAUGUAUACAUAUGGUUCUUCGCAUGUCUAAUUUUAGGGAUGACCACUGGCUUAACCACAACAAUGGGACAAUCCUCUGAGGCUGCUUGCGAAGGCCAAACUCAAAGAGCAAUCCAGCUUCUCUCUUUCUCCCUCCUCCACGCUGAGACGAGACCUAUGGAGUUUGGUGAAACCGACGACUGCUGUUGGCCAUGGAAGAUACACAUAUCACAAGGAGCCAAUCGAGAUGUUUGUUCUCUGGAUUCGUGGAAGCUGAUUGCAGAUCAAACUCAAUGGCCAAGAUUGUACAUGAUGAGCUAGUGGAAUUGUGAUGGAUCUCACUCUCUCUCUUUCCGUUCUUCUUCUUCUUCGUCACAUGUCUUAACAAGGAGGGAUUUGUCAUGAGGGACCUUUUGAAUUUCUGUUUUUUUUGGAGGUGGUCUCGCUGGAAACUUACGUCGAGUUGUGUCACCCAGAGGACGCGGAUUCCUCACAGCAUUUAUGUUAUGAAUUUUCAAACUUGUUUCACAAUGAUGCAGAUUGGUCACAGCAACAAGUUUGAAGAUUCAUAAUAUUAACCGUGACACAACUCGGCGUUUCCCUUUUCAGCUUUCUGAGAAUGUCUAGCUCGAUAGAAAGCAACUCAGUGGAGACAACAAUUUUCCAAAGAGACCACCUCCAAAAAAGAACAGAAGGUCAAAGGGUCGUUCAUAACAAACCCCUCACUUAAGACAGAUGUGACGAAAAAGGAGGUAGCAGCAGCCAGCAGAAGCUCUAAAGACGGCUCCGAAGCAAUCAUGUGACUGAGAUAAGGAAGGAUUUGACGAAAAAGGAGGCAGCAGCAGAAGCUCCAAAGGUGGCUCAGAAGCGAUCCCUGAUGUUUAGACAACCGUCCAAGGGUUGUGCUUGGAGGUGGUCAAGACGCAUCAGCUGUGACUACCACUGAUCAUCGUGCUGGAAAGUUUGAAGCUAAGUUUUACAACAAGGUUAGUGUUACAAUAAGAGGGUUUUACUUGCAAACAUGUAACCUCGAAACGAGAUAUGUAACUGUGUAUCAUUUUGUGUUUGGCAUGAUAUAUAUGGAUUCUGCAAGAGGAAAUAGGUGGUGUAAAGGUCAUUUUGGACCUAUAAAUGCUUUGGCAUUCAAUCCUGGCAGGAGCCAGGAGUUUCUCUUGUGGAGGUGAAGACGCUACGUGUGGCUGCAUCAUCUUUGACUCCUAUUACUUCAACAUCAGGAUUUAGAUUCUUUGAAAAAGUCUUCCAUUCCGGAUUUUAUUUCCUCACCUUUUUAGCAUGUUUAUGUGUACUACUACUACUACUACCAAUACCAACACUUUGAUGAUAAAGCUUUUGAAUUUUGACCGAAUGUUUUUAGUUUUCAUUUCUA
Molecule: RNA transcript, 2348 nt
Organism: Camelina sativa (false flax)
Lineage: Eukaryota; Viridiplantae; Streptophyta; Magnoliopsida; Brassicales; Brassicaceae
Source: RefSeq, a predicted model, not a curated record